RNAcentral lists this long non-coding RNA (448 nucleotides) under Rhinopithecus bieti (black snub-nosed monkey). Its description in RNAcentral is "lncRNA (ENSRBIG00000045060.1)". Lineage: Eukaryota; Metazoa; Chordata; Mammalia; Primates; Cercopithecidae. The record is from RNAcentral.
CUUAUCCAGCCAAGUUGCAGGAGGAACCCCUGAAGUAGUCUACAACACAUAUUCAGUUAUCAAAAUUUUUGGUCCUCAAGUCACUUUGAUUUUACUAAAAGCAAUCAUUUGAAGGACAUCUUGUCAGCUGGAAUCCCAAACAAACAGACGAGCAUGAAACAGGAGGCAGAAACCAUCCCCAACCCACCCUUAUGGAUCAACUGCAGCACUCAGAAGAAGAGAAAGUUGCUGGUGAAUGAAAAGAUGCCAGUAUGUUCUCUCAGAUGUGUGUCUCCAGACGGGGAAGUUUUCUGUGGAUGUCACAGCCAGAGGCUAAUAUAUUCUGCUAAACCCCUGGAUUACUGUGUCGGUUACAUAGGACCGCCAGAGCAUUCUUAACACUUCUGGAAACCUGCUCCGCAAAAUCAAUAGGUCAAAAGGAUUUCCUGUAUCUCAAAAGUGUGACAGU